CAUGAACAUUGACAAUUCGAACGCACAUUGCGGCCCUAG
Molecule: ribosomal RNA, 39 nt
Filed under: Frankliniella occidentalis (western flower thrips)
Lineage: Eukaryota; Metazoa; Arthropoda; Insecta; Thysanoptera; Thripidae
Description: partial 5.8S ribosomal RNA
Source: RNAcentral